CCUCUUCUUUUGUCGCUGGUCCAAGCGAGUCGCGUGAAGACGGUGCGGGUCUGCCCCCACGCCGACUCGCUCCUCCAUCGCCUCCGAUCGCUCUCUUAGCUUCAUCCGUUUCUCUUCUUUGUCGAAUUAGGUAAUUCCCGCACUUUCUGGUUCUUAAUUUUGUCUGCAUUAGAAUUUUUUGAGCUCAUUUCUUCCUCAUUUUCGCGUUUGAUUUGACUGAUUGACUUACGAUUCUUAUCCUUUAUGAGGUUUUUCUUGAGCUAAAAACAUGGCUUUGUGGUCU
RNAcentral lists this long non-coding RNA (283 nucleotides) under Phoenix dactylifera (date palm). RNAcentral describes it as "long non-coding RNA (PDAC_LNC015290)". Lineage: Eukaryota; Viridiplantae; Streptophyta; Magnoliopsida; Arecales; Arecaceae. The record is from RNAcentral.